CAGCACGUGUGUUGGGAGGGGGCAGGUCAAUGGAUUCCUCCUGCCUCCUGACCCACCUCUAUUGAAGGUGGUUUUACCACCCCACCUCAGCUCCUUUGCCUCCAAGCGCAGUUCUACCAUCUUUUCUCAAUCUACCGCUUCAAACCGCCGCCGCCGAUCCACCCUUCGCAAACUCGCUUGAUUUUCGACCAUGAUCUGCCUCAGGCGUCGCUCUUCGACUUCGGCGAAGAAGAUGAAGAACGGUGUCGUAUCAAUGGCGUCGGACAUGUUCAAACCACAGAGAUCCGUCCUCUUCCCGCGGAUCCGUUCGCCUUGGAUCCCUCCAAUCGCCGGCGUUACUGCCGACAACGGAUCCGCCUCUUUGUACAUAACACAAUUGCUAGUUGAUAUCUAUUCAUGCCCCUUGUGUGUGGUCUGCAUCUAUUUAGAUUUGUAGAUCAUGUGUUUGUGUUCUGGAUAUUAAUAUACACCGUAAAAUAUGAUAAAUGCAUAAGCCUCGGGCUUCAUCGUAGCUUUGAUUUUGUCUUGUAAUACUGCGUAAGGUGAUUUUGUCCAACACUUUUUUGGUGGUGAGGCUGGAGACCCUGUUAUAAGGGUUUGUAAACAGUAACAUCUUAAUCAACCUUUUGGACCGGUGGAUAUGGAUUAGCAUUGCUUUAUCUUAAUAUCGCUUUGUUUCAUUUUGUUGGUUUGUUUUUAAUUGGAUGUGUAAAUUCAGGCUCACUCAAGCUGGUCG
Molecule: long non-coding RNA, 736 nt
Filed under: Erythranthe guttata (spotted monkey flower)
Lineage: Eukaryota; Viridiplantae; Streptophyta; Magnoliopsida; Lamiales; Phrymaceae
Description: long non-coding RNA (EGUT_LNC003911)
Source: RNAcentral